Paramuricea clavata is the source of this 207-nucleotide non-coding RNA. The record is from the annotation of a GenBank genome assembly. NCBI's taxonomy places the organism in Eukaryota, Metazoa, Cnidaria, Anthozoa, Malacalcyonacea, Plexauridae.
GCAAUCAUGAAGGGAAUACUGGUGGCACUGGCGCUUUUACAGUUGGUACUUCUAAGCAAAGGCUGGCCUAAAACACGGAGGAUUGGUUGGGACUCAAAGUUGUCCACAACGUUGACUCGAACUUGUCCACUAAAUCCAAAGCUCGCGGCCUGGAAGAAAGCUGUACGUCUGGCGCUUAAACGCGACCGGGGAAAGAGAGGGUUGGCG